This 377-nucleotide ribosomal RNA is filed under the name uncultured eukaryote. RNAcentral describes it as "partial 18S ribosomal RNA". It matches the Rfam family "Eukaryotic small subunit ribosomal RNA", at positions 592 to 976 of the family's 1831-position model. The record is from RNAcentral.
CAAUAGCGUAUAUUAAAGUUGUUGCAGUUAAAAAGCUCGUAGUUGGAUUUCGGGGCAGCCUGGCUGGUCCGCCGCAAGGCGAGUACUGGUCAGCCGCCCUUCCUCUCGAAAGCCCCGACUGCUCUUCGUUGCAGUGGUCGGGUAGUUCGGGACGUUUACUUUGAAAAAAUUAGAGUGUUCAAGGCAGGCCUACGCCUGAAUACAUUAGCAUGGAAUAAUGGAAGAGGACCUCGGUCCUAUUUUGUUGGUUUCCAGGGCCGAAGUAAUGAUUAAGAGGGACAGUUGGGGGCAUUCGUAUUUAAUUGUCAGAGGUGAAAUUCUCGGAUUUAUGAAAGACGAACAACUGCGAAGGCAUUUGCCAAGGAUGUUUUCAUUAA